UGAACGCUGGCGGCAUGCCUUACACAUGCAAGUCGAACGGCAGCACGGGAGCAAUCCUGGUGGCGAGUGGCGAACGGGUGAGUAAUAUAUCGGAACGUGCCCAGUCGUGGGGGAUAACGCAGCGAAAGCUGUGCUAAUACCGCAUACGAUCUACGGAUGAAAGCGGGGGAUCGCAAGACCUCGCGCGAUUGGAGCGGCCGAUAUCAGAUUAGGUUGUUGGUGGGGUAAAAGCCCACCAAGCCGACGAUCUGUAGCUGGUCUGAGAGGACGACCAGCCACACUGGAACUGAGACACGGUCCAGACUCCUACGGGAGGCAGCAGUGGGGAAUUUUGGACAAUGGGCGCAAGCCUGAUCCAGCAAUGCCGCGUGCAGGAUGAAGGCCUUCGGGUUGUAAACUGCUUUUGUACGGAACGAAACGGUCUGCUCUAAUACAGCGGGCUAAUGACGGUACCGUAAGAAUAAGCACCGGCUAACUACGUGCCAGCAGCCGCGGUAAUACGUAGGGUGCGAGCGUUAAUCGGAAUUACUGGGCGUAAAGCGUGCGCAGGCGGUUAUAUAAGACAGAUGUGAAAUCCCCGGGCUCAACCUGGGACCUGCAUUUGUGACUGUAUAGCUAGAGUGCGGCAGAGGGGGAUGGAAUUCCGCGUGUAGCAGUGAAAUGCGUAGAUAUGCGGAGGAACACCGAUGGCGAAGGCA
This 698-nucleotide ribosomal RNA is filed under the name Pseudomonadota bacterium. RNAcentral's name for it is "bacterial SSU rRNA". It matches the Rfam family "Bacterial small subunit ribosomal RNA", at positions 30 to 723 of the family's 1533-position model. Lineage: Bacteria; Pseudomonadati; Pseudomonadota. The record is from RNAcentral.